GCUUCUAUCGUUUAAUUGGUAGGACAUUGUUUUUUCGAAGCAAAGAUGUGAGUUCAAUUCUCACUAGAAGUA
RNAcentral lists this transfer RNA (72 nucleotides) under Deltalsia parasitica. RNAcentral describes it as "tRNA-Glu". It matches the Rfam family "tRNA". From Rfam's summary of the family: Transfer RNA (tRNA) molecules are approximately 80 nucleotides in length. The record is from RNAcentral. Lineage: Eukaryota; Rhodophyta; Florideophyceae; Ceramiales; Rhodomelaceae.